Molecule: ribosomal RNA, 686 nt
Filed under: uncultured Helotiales
Lineage: Eukaryota; Fungi; Ascomycota; Leotiomycetes; Helotiales
Description: eukaryotic LSU rRNA
Rfam family: Eukaryotic large subunit ribosomal RNA (bases 91-686)
Source: RNAcentral
GGCGGUGCCCAUCUGGCUCUAAGCGUAGUAUUUCUUUCUCGCUCCCAGGGCUUUGGUGGUCUCCUGCCAGAACCCCCCAUAUUCUAAGGUUGACCUCGGAUCAGGUAGGGAUACCCGCUGAACUUAAGCAUAUCAAUAAGCGGAGGAAAAGAAACCAACAGGGAUUGCCUCAGUAACGGCGAGUGAAGCGGCAACAGCUCAAAUUUGAAAUCUGGCCUCUGGUCCGAGUUGUAAUUUGUAGAAGAUGCUUUGGGUGAGGCUCUGGUCUAAGUUCCUUGGAACAGGACGUCACAGAGGGUGAGAAUCCCGUACGUGGCCGGUAGCCUUCGCCUAUGUAAAGCUCUUUCGACGAGUCGAGUUGUUUGGGAAUGCAGCUCAAAAUGGGUGGUAAAUUUCAUCUAAAGCUAAAUAUUGGCCAGAGACCGAUAGCGCACAAGUAGAGUGAUCGAAAGAUGAAAAGCACUUUGGAAAGAGAGUUAAAUAGUACGUGAAAUUGUUGAAAGGGAAGCUCUUGCAAUCAGACUUGCGCGCUGUUGAUCAUCCGAGGUUCUCCCCGGUGCACUCGGCAGCGCUCAGGCCAGCAUCGGUUUCGGCGGGUAGAUAAAGGCCUUGGGAAUGUAGCUUCUUUCGGGGAGUGUUAUAGCCCUCGGUGCAAUGUACCCUGCUGGGACCGAGGACCGCGCUCG